Molecule: ribosomal RNA, 488 nt
Filed under: uncultured bacterium
Lineage: Bacteria
Description: bacterial SSU rRNA
Rfam family: Bacterial small subunit ribosomal RNA
Source: RNAcentral
UACGAGGACGACGCUGGCGGCGUGCUUAACACAUGCAAGUCGAACGAUGAACCCGGAGCUUGCUCCGGUGGAUUAGUGGCGAACGGGUGAGUAACACGUGAGUAACCUGCCCUUGACUCUGGGAUAACUGCUAGAAAUGGUAGCUAAUACCGGAUACGACCCUCGGCGGCAUCGCCAGGGGGUGGAAAGAAUUUCGGUCAAGGAUGGACUCGCGGCCUAUCAGCUAGUUGGUGAGGUAAUGGCUCACCAAGGCGACGACGGGUAGCCGGCCUGAGAGGGUGACCGGCCACACUGGGACUGAGACACGGCCCAGACUCCUACGGGAGGCAGCAGUGGGGAAUAUUGCACAAUGGGCGCAAGCCUGAACCAGCCAUGCCGCGUGCAGGAAGACGGUCCUAUGGAUUGUAAACUGCUUUUAUUUGGGAAUAAACCUAUCUACGUGUAGAUAGCUGAAGGUACCAAAUGAAUAAGCACCGGCUAACUCCGUG